This 206-nucleotide ribosomal RNA is filed under the name uncultured bacterium. RNAcentral describes it as "partial 16S ribosomal RNA". It matches the Rfam family "Bacterial small subunit ribosomal RNA", at positions 568 to 773 of the family's 1533-position model. The record is from RNAcentral.
CGUCUAGGCGGGGGAUUAAGUUAGGUGUGAAAUCCAUGGGCUCAACUCGUGAAUGGCAUCCAAAACUGGUUCUCUUGAGUCCGGGAGAGGAGAGCAGAAUUCCUGGUGUAGCGGUGAAAUGCGUAGAUAUCAGGAGGAAUACCAGUGGCGAAGGCGGCUCUCUGGCCUAGGACUGACGCUGAAGCGCGAAAGCGUGGGGAGCGAAC